CUGGGCACUCUAAAGGGACUGCCGGUGUUAAACCGGAGGAAGGUGGGGAUGACGGUCAAGUCCUCAUGGCCUUUAUGACCAGGGCUACACACGUACUACAAUGGCCGAUACAGAGGGCAGCUACCUGGUGACAGGAUGCAAAUCUACCAAAGUUGGUCUCAGGUUCGGAUCGGAGUCUGCCAACCCGACUCCGUGAAGUUGGAUUCGCUAGUAAUCGCGCAUCAGCCAUGGCGCGGUGAAUACGUUCCCGGGCCUU
This 256-nucleotide ribosomal RNA is filed under the name uncultured Syntrophus sp. RNAcentral describes it as "partial 16S ribosomal RNA". It matches the Rfam family "Bacterial small subunit ribosomal RNA", at positions 1131 to 1382 of the family's 1533-position model. Lineage: Bacteria; Pseudomonadati; Thermodesulfobacteriota; Syntrophia; Syntrophales; Syntrophaceae. The record is from RNAcentral.